RNAcentral lists this ribosomal RNA (372 nucleotides) under uncultured organism. RNAcentral describes it as "bacterial SSU rRNA". It matches the Rfam family "Bacterial small subunit ribosomal RNA", at positions 526 to 896 of the family's 1533-position model. The record is from RNAcentral.
CGUAGGUGGCAAGCGUUGUCCGGAAUUAUUGGGCGUAAAGGGCGCGUAGGCGGCAUGACAAGUCACUUGUGAAAUCUCUGAGCUUAACUCAGAACGGCCAAGUGAUACUGUCGCGCUAGAGUGCAGAAAGGGCAAUCGGAAUUCUUGGUGUAGCGGUGAAAUGCGUAGAUAUCAAGAGGAACACCUGAGGCGAAGGCGGGUUGCUAGGCUGACACUGACGCUGAGGCGCGAAAGCCAGGGGAGCAAACGGGAUUAGAUACCCCGGUAGUCCUGGCCCUAAACGAUGAAUACUUGGUGUCUGGAGUUAUUAAUGCUCUGGGUGCCGUCGCUAACGUUUUAAGUAUUCCGCCUGGGGAUACGCUCGCAAGAGUG